Cyprinus carpio carpio is the source of this 1359-nucleotide long non-coding RNA. The record is from Ensembl. Lineage: Eukaryota; Metazoa; Chordata; Actinopteri; Cypriniformes; Cyprinidae.
GGACAGUUAAACCAUCACAGAGUGCAGUCGUGCGGCUCAACUGUUCACCUGCAACAACAGGUGUUACAUGCCCCACUUCCAGUCUGAUUAAGACCCGCCAUGCUUGCGUUCAUCUCGUUAAAGCAAUUAUUGGAGAUCCUUGCAAAAACAACAGAUUGCAGGUCAGGUGGGGAAAGUACAGAGGAUUUGGCAUGCUGUCUUCCUCCUGUAACAAUUGGCCUCUGUCAUCCCAAAUAAUUACACACGAAAGGAGAGUAACAGGAGACUACAUUGGCAUAGAAUGAGACCAAAUGAUGCCAAAUUGGCUCGGGAUGCUUCUCCUCUGACCACUUUGCCUUACAUUAUCAUCUGAAGGUGUGGAUAUCAAUCUGUCUUGAAAAGAUGCUUGCUAACAAGAGGCUAUAAGGGACUACAAAGUUUUUGGAGGACAUUAAACAUCAUCACGCCGAACAGCUCCAGAUCAACAUACACGAAUGCAAAUGAGAGAGAACCAGCGGGGAACAUAGAUCACAGCCGCCGUGUGCAUGUGUGUGCGUCACAGGAGAGAUGGAGGCUGGAGUACUAAUCACUGGAACGCAGACAGUUAACAGCCCGAGAUCCGUCAGGACUGACCCAUCUGAAAACUCCAUUACCCAGCUGGCUCGCUGCUCCACCGGGAGCCUGUAGGGAGUAGAUGUUGUUUUAGCAUUGAAUAUAAAUGUAGAGCUGGGUGGCUCAAAAAUGCUUCUGUGAUCCAGGCAUCUAUUUCAAAAGUCCAGCAUUACAGCUUUGAUCCGGCAGCUAGUCUGAGAUCUAAGCGCAUGCCUGCAGGUGCACUGCAGAGAUCUAUGAAAUCAGAGGAGAAGCAGGAGGGCUGCGGCGCACUUGCACAGUCCACAGAUCCAAAAAAAAAGAUGAGCGCUCUCAUAUUUCCCAGCCGUCUUCCUGCAGUGCAAUCAGAAUCCUUUAAGAGCAGAGCAUCAUAUAUUUACUGAGUUGGACAGAGAUGCCUUACCUGGAGGCCUCCGGUGGAGCAGGCAGGAGUUAAAUAUUAAUUGUGAGUGAUUCAUCGCCUGAAGCCUGGACAGGCCUGCAGCUCAGCUCCAGCUGUUGGUUGGCCCUGGUCUCCUUCCAGGCCUGGCAGCCAUAGCUUGGCUCGGGCAGCAGAAGCCACACAUCAGGGUGUCAGUUGGAGCCAGCAGACUGUGUCACCCAUGCUGGGGAGGCAAUGAGGCACGGAAGCCUCCGCCACAUGUGCGAGGGAUCCAAGGGCUAAUGCUGGGACCAAAUCAGCUAUAGGAUGAGCGGGUGAAUCUCAGCAGAACUGUCAAGAACUUGUCUAAGUCACAUUUUAAAGCAGAAAGCAUGUCACCAUUACCG